AUUGAACGCUGGCGGCAUGCCUUACACAUGCAAGUCGAACGGCAGCACGGGUGCUUGCACCUGGUGGCGAGUGGCGAACGGGUGAGUAAUACAUCGGAACAUGUCCUUUAGUGGGGGAUAGCCCGGCGAAAGCCGGAUUAAUACCGCAUACGAUCUACGGAUGAAAGCGGGGGACCUUCGGGCCUCGCGCUAUAGGGUUGGCCGAUGGCUGAUUAGCUAGUUGGUGGGGUAAAGGCCUACCAAGGCGACGAUCAGUAGCUGGUCUGAGAGGACGACCAGCCACACUGGGACUGAGACACGGCCCAGACUCCUACGGGAGGCAGCAGUGGGGAAUUUUGGACAAUGGGCGAAAGCCUGAUCCAGCAAUGCCGCGUGUGUGAAGAAGGCCUUCGGGUUGUAAAGCACUUUUGCCCGGAAAGAAAUCCUUGGCCCUAAUACGGUCGGGGGAUGACGGUACCGGAAGAAUAAGCACCGGCUAACUACGUG
Molecule: ribosomal RNA, 486 nt
Filed under: uncultured bacterium
Lineage: Bacteria
Description: partial 16S ribosomal RNA
Rfam family: Bacterial small subunit ribosomal RNA
Source: RNAcentral